RNAcentral lists this ribosomal RNA (1470 nucleotides) under Proteus terrae. Its description in RNAcentral is "partial 16S ribosomal RNA". It matches the Rfam family "Bacterial small subunit ribosomal RNA". Lineage: Bacteria; Pseudomonadati; Pseudomonadota; Gammaproteobacteria; Enterobacterales; Morganellaceae. The record is from RNAcentral.
GUUUUAUGUCGAGCGGGGUAACAGGGAGGCAGCUUGCUUGCUUCGCUGACGAGCGGCGGACGGGUGAGUAAUGUCUGGGAAUCUGCCCGAUGGAGGGGGAUAACUACUGGAAACGGUGGCUAAUACCGCAUGACGUCUACAGACCAAAGAGGGGGAUCUUCGGACCUCGCGCCAUCGGAUGUGCCCAUAUGGGAUUAGCUAGUAGGUGGGGUAAUGGCUCACCUAGGCGACGAUCCCUAGCUGGUCUGAGAGGAUGAUCAGCCACACUGGAACUGAGACACGGUCCAGACUCCUACGGGAGGCAGCAGUGAGGAAGUCAGUGCACGAUCAUGGAUUGCGCAAGCAGCUGAUGCAGCCAUGCCGCGUGUAUGAAGAAGGCCUUCAGGUUGUAAAGUACUUUCAGCGGGGAGGAAGGUGAUAAGGUUAAUACCCUUAGCAAUUGACGUUACCCGCAGAAGAAGCACCGACUAACUCCGUGCCAGCAGCCGCGGUAAUACGAAGGGUGCAAGCGUUAAUCGGAAUAACUGGGCGUAAAGCGCACGCAGGCGGUCAGUCAAGUCAGAUGUGAAAGUCCCCGAGCUCAACUUGGGAACUGCAUCCGAAACUGGUCAGCUAGAAUUCUUGUUAGAAGGGGGGUAGAAUUCCAAGUGGUAGCGGUUGAAAUGCGGUAGAGAAUCUGGAAGAAUACCGGUGGCGAAAGCGGCCCCCUGGACAAAAGGACUGACGCUCAGGUGCGAAAGGCGUGGGGAGCAAACCAGGAAUAGAUAACCUGGUAAUCCAAGCCUGUAAACCAAGGCCAAUUAGAAGGAGUUGUGCUCUGGAAGCGUGGCUUUCUGGGAGCUAACGGCGUUAAAUCGACCCGCCCUGGGGAAUACGGCCGCCAGGUUUAAACUUCAAUGAAUUGGAGGGGGGCCGCCACAGCGGUUGGACCUGGUGUUUAAUUUGGUGCAAACGCGAGAACCUUACCUUAUUCUGACAUUCCAGGAAUCUUUCAAAAGAUGAGGAGUGCCUUUGGGAACGUUUAAACCGGUUGUGCCAGGCCGUCGUUAGGUUGUUUUUUGAAAUGGUGGGUUUAAUCCCGCCACGAGGGCCACCCUUUUCCUUUGUUGCCAGCCGGUAAGGCCGGGAACUCAAAGGAGACUGCCAGUGAUAAACCGGAGGAAGGUGGGGAUGACGUCAAGUCAUCAUGGCCCUUACGAGUAGGGCUACACACGUGCUACAAUGGCACAUACAAAGAGAAGCGACCUCGCGAGAGCAAGCGGAACUCAUAAAGUGUGUCGUAGUCCGGAUUGGAGUCUGCAACUCGACUCCAUGAAGUCGGAAUCGCUAGUAAUCGUAGAUCAGAAUGCCACGGUGAAUACGUUCCCGGGCCUUGUACACACCGCCCGUCACACCAUGGGAGUGGGUUGCAAAAGAAGUAGGUAGCUUAACCUUCGGGAGGGCGCUUACCAUCUUUUUCACCCUAAAAAA